This 484-nucleotide ribosomal RNA is filed under the name uncultured bacterium. RNAcentral's name for it is "partial 16S ribosomal RNA". It matches the Rfam family "Bacterial small subunit ribosomal RNA", at positions 30 to 507 of the family's 1533-position model. The record is from RNAcentral.
AUUGAACGCUGGCGGCAGGCCUAACACAUGCAAGUCGAGCGGAUGAAGGGAGCUUGCUCCUGGAUUCAGCGGCGGACGGGUGAGUAAUGCCUAGGAAUCUGCCUGGUAGUGGGGGAUAACGUCCGGAAACGGGCGCUAAUACCGCAUACGUCCUGAGGGAGAAAGUGGGGGAUCUUCGGACCUCACGCUAUCAGAUGAGCCUAGGUCGGAUUAGCUAGUUGGUGGGGUAAAGGCCUACCAAGGCGACGAUCCGUAACUGGUCUGAGAGGCUGAUCAGUCACACUGGAACUGAGACACGGUCCAGACUCCUACGGGAGGCAGCAGUGGGGAAUAUUGGACAAUGGGCGGAAGCCUGAUCCAGCCAUGCCGCGUGUGUGAAGAAGGUCUUCGGAUUGUAAAGCACUUUAAGUUGGGAGGAAGGGCAGUAAGUUAAUACCUUGCUGUUUUGACGGUACCAACAGAAUAAGCACCGGCUAACUUCGUG